CCCCCAGUACUGGGGAUUGAACUCAGGGCCUUCCCACUGAGCUUCAUCCCCAGAUCUUUUUUUGUUUUUUUCAGUUUGCAGAUAAAAGACAUGUUUAUUUUCAUGACUCGAACAUCAUCACACAGGUUUAACAAUCCUUAAGAACCAGUAUUACGUCUAUCAACGUUAUAUCACAUUAAAACCAUAACAUUUCACCCCUGCAGCUGAAACAAGCAACACUGUCCUCCCACCUGCCUUGUCUGGGCCAAGCUCCAGGCUCAGGGGAGCUCUGUGGUUGCCUCCCCUGCCCAGGGGUCUGUGAGAAGUGGUGAGAGGAGCAAAAGGCAUCUUUUUUAAGUUUAUUUUUGAUUUUGAAACAGGGUCUUGCUAAGUCGCUCAGAUGGGUGCAAACGGGCCACCUUCCUACCUCAGCCUCCCCGACACAUUUCUUGUUGCGUUUGUUAGUGAGUAUGCGUAACACUCAACGCUCACUUUCCUUGUUUGUUAGUGAGUAUGCGUAACACUCAACGCUCACCUUCUUUGUGUGGAGUACCUUGUUUUUUCCCUUCCUCUGCCCGACCUCCAUCUUUUUCCCUUCCCCUUGGACACAAUCUUUCUCCCUACCUCCUAUUACUGGCCUUUCAUCUGACUCCUUAUCUUCACUCUGGGUUUCUUGCAUAAGACAAACCAUGUGAUAUCUAAGCUUGUGUCUCUGACUUUUCCAGAAAUAUUUCUCAUAAGUAAAACAAAAGAAAAAAAUUGAAAUAUUUUCCCAUGACAAUUAAGCUCAGUGCUUCUAGAAAGAAGUGAAGAAGAGGAGGAGGAGGAAGAGGAAGAAGACGGACCCCAGCAUUGGGUGACCUGCGCCUAGGUUGCUGCAGAACCCUCUAAACUCCAGGCAGCAUCGUAUGCUUUGCCCCAGGAGCAUCCUUCAAGCCGGACCUGAGCUACUGAAGGGCAGAUGGUGUCUCCUUCGACCCGGACCCUAGGAAACCACCCAGUGGAACAUGCGUCAAUUCUCCACAGCCUCUGGGAUGCAUAUGGGAGACUCACACUAAGGUAAAACCCCAGAUAUCAUCAGUAACUACCUGGCCAUGGCAUUGAGAGAGAGAGAGAGACAGAGAGAGAGAUACAGAGACAGAGACAAAGACAGAGACACAAAGAGAGACAGAGACAGAGAGAGAAACAAAAAUGUCUUACUGAGGGUUUGACCCUGGUCUGACUGCUACUUCCUGGGUCCAAGUGUCUAAUUUGUGCUCUAAAAGACAGAAGCUUCACGAUGCUACAACUUCGUUCUGUGAUAGUCAAGUCCUGACCAUCAAACCCUCCUUGAUGAAAACCCUCCACUCUCCAAGGUACCUGGAAUUGUAAAGGUGGGCAGCGGGCAUGGUCCAUCUUUAAAUGGUUGGUAAGCAGAACUCUCCAGGGAACAUUAUGGUGUGCUCAGUAUUAAAAUGGAUUUUAAAAUUUACAACAUUUAUGCAAAACAUUGAAAAUAAUUCACAUUGAUCUCCUUGUGCUCAUUUGCUUCGGUCAGCAUUAUUGGAAUGGGACGACAGGAUUUGCCUUUUAAUUGGCCUUUUCCAGAUUUCUGGUGAGAUUCCUACUUCCACCAGCUAGGGGAACACGCAGCCCCAACAAAGCCCCUCGGGGUACAUCUUCAGGAUGGUGCACACAGGAACACUAAUUUAUGAACAGCAAUGGAAGCUGAGUAUACAAUUCCUUAUCCCACACCAGGGUAAGUGUACUCGGCUGAUUACUACCUGGUGCGCUCAGAAUCCUUGGUUAAAUAAGCCAAAAGCCAGCUGCAGUUCUUAUUUGUAAGCCGGAAUUCCUCAAAAGCAAAUGAGAAAGGAAAGAGUGACAAGGACAUGAAGAUCGUUAACAUCGCUAUUAAGCAAAGCAUGAUCUGGCGGCCACAGCCACACACCUUCAGGGACACCUGCAGCGGACACGGGGGUUCUCCAAUCCAGGGGACAACGCCGAGACCAAAGUGCCCCUUGAUCAAAUUUCUGCUGAGAGCUUUGAAGUUGACUUCUUGCCUCUUGACCCUGUCAUCUUCAAAUGCCACUGCCAAUGAGGAAACUGAGGGAUCAUAAAGAACUUUGUUCAAGAUCUCAUGGCAAAAAAGUGGUCAAGCUGUGACUUGGUCCAAGCAUCUGAACUCCCAGCCAGUGCAGGACACCACAGUUGACAGUGUGGUUAUGAGGUGACUCUAGCCCAUUUCAAAAGAAAUCUUCUGAAUAUCGUGAAGAAAGUGAAAGCUGAAGAACUAUUGCUGUAGUCUACGUCAAAUAGAGGACCAUGCAACUGUAAGGUCCUUUGAAUGCUGGAAGUGAAAGCAGCAGGUGAAGCUACCGAAAAGGUGAUGAUUGCUCUAUCCCAAUGACAACAGUCUGCUCUCCCAAGCUCCAUUAAAUGAGGGUGUUGCCAACAGGAUGCAUGCAGGAGAAGUCUGCUGGGGGACUGCAUGGGGAAAACUUGCUUUCCCAAUGAAGAGACGGGUGAGACUGUCUACUUUGCUUACCUCAGUUUCCUCUUCCUUUCCACAGAGGAGUGAGACAUGUGGCAGUGCUGACCUUGAACUUGUGAUCCUCCUACCUCAAUCUCCCAAGUAGCUGAGGUUCUGAGCAUGUGUCAUCAUGCUCCAGCAAGUCUUAAUUUUUUAAGCCACUGAAAGUCAAAUUUUCUGUUAUUUACAGCUAAAUGCAUUUCUAAGGAUAAAGAAAAUUACAAUUUUGUAAAAAUCCACAUGUCGCUGACUUUUCUAUCAAUAAAACUGUAUACAAAUUGCAGGAAUAAAUUGGAAAUACAGAA
Molecule: long non-coding RNA, 2796 nt
Organism: Chinchilla lanigera (long-tailed chinchilla)
Lineage: Eukaryota; Metazoa; Chordata; Mammalia; Rodentia; Chinchillidae
Exons: 5
Source: RefSeq, a predicted model, not a curated record